This is a non-coding RNA of Castor canadensis (American beaver), 767 nucleotides long. NCBI's taxonomy places the organism in Eukaryota, Metazoa, Chordata, Mammalia, Rodentia, Castoridae. The record is from RefSeq and is a predicted model, not a curated record.
CAGUCUCAGAAGACCUUACAACUAAUUUUAUUUGGUCUGUCUCAUCCUGACAUUAAAUCAUCUGGCAUUUUCAGUUCCACAGACAUUCCAGUUGGCUUUUGAGUGGAUAAUUGUUGCAGUGAGAGCACUGACGUUGGAAACAACUAGUGCUGUGUGAAUUACCUAAACACCAUCAUGAAAAGAAAUACAUGUGAUUUGCUUUCUCGGAGCAAAAGUGCCUCUGAGGAAACAUUGCAUUCCAGUAAUGAAGAGGAAGACCCUUUCCGAGGAAUGGAACCCUAUCUUGUAAGGAGACUUUCAUGCCGCAACAUUCAGCUUCCUCCUCUUGCCUUCAGACAGUUGGAACAAGCUGACUUGAAAAGUGAAUCAGAGAAUAUUCCACGGCCAACCAGCCUCCCCCUGAAGAUUCUGCCCUUGAUUGCUAUCACUUCUGCAGACUCCAGUGGGUGAGUGCCCUUGGGUGACAUUUCUCCAUUUUACAUUUUGUAUGGUGAUUGUUAUCUGUGGUCUUUUAAAUUUUUGUGGCUCAUUGCUUGAUUUCAGUGGGAGGACAAUGAUGUUUUUAGAGUAAAAAAAAGGAAACUUUUUCUCAGGUAAUGUCUUUAUCUCUGUAAGAUGAGUCAUUUUUAGUCAAAUUGUUUUACAAGAAGGCAUUGAAAAUGUAUUGAUGAAUCCUAAUAAGCAUCCAGGAAAAGGGAAAUUAAUACUGGCCAUUUGUGAGUUUAAAAAAGAUUCUUAACAAAUGAUAACUAAUGGACAAAUUACCA